RNAcentral lists this ribosomal RNA (494 nucleotides) under uncultured bacterium. Its description in RNAcentral is "partial 16S ribosomal RNA". It matches the Rfam family "Bacterial small subunit ribosomal RNA", at positions 28 to 507 of the family's 1533-position model. The record is from RNAcentral.
GACGAACGCUGGCGGCGUGCUUAACACAUGCAAGUCGAACGGUGAAGCGCCUUCCUUUUUGGUGGGUGUGGAUGAGUGGCGAACGGGUGAGUAACACGUGAGUAACCUGCCCCCUUCUUCUGGAUAACCGCAUGAAAGUGUGGCUAAUACGGGAUAUUCUGGUUCUGUCGCAUGAUGGGUCUGGGAAAGAUAUUGUUUCGGUGGGGGAGGGGCUCGCGGCCUAUCAGCUUGUUGGGGGGGUGAUGGCCUACCAAGGGGGUGACGGGUAGCCGGCCUGAGGGGGUGGACGGUCACACUGGGACUGAGACACGGCCGAGACUCCUACGGGAGGCAGCAGUGGGGAAUAGUGCACAAUGGGCGAAAGCCUGAUGCAGCGACGCCGCGUGAGGGAUGGAGGCCUUCGGGUUGUGAACCUCUUUCGCCAGUGAAGCAGGCCUGCCUCGUUUGUGGGUGGGUUGACGGUAGCUGGAUAAGAAGCGCCGGCUAACUACGUG